Molecule: unclassified non-coding RNA, 557 nt
Filed under: Phrynium pubinerve
Lineage: Eukaryota; Viridiplantae; Streptophyta; Magnoliopsida; Zingiberales; Marantaceae
Description: partial miscellaneous RNA
Source: RNAcentral
CAUUGUCGAUCGCCCCAUUUGACUCCUCGUCCCCUCGUCUUUCGACCGGCGGCGCGUGGGCAUGGGUCGGUCUUGAUGUGGAAACGACCGUUCCAGCACACGAGCGGUGAUGGUCCUGUGUGCGUCGACGGGCUCCGUGCCACUGUGCAGCCGACCGUCGUCGCCUCCUCCCUUUCAUUGUCCCUCUCGAGUCGUUGUGUCUUCGUGCCUCUCGAGUUGCCUGCGCGAUCUACCGGAUUUGUCGGACGGAAAAGUGAGAUCUUGCCCACAAGCACCUCUCCCGCUCACUCUCUGCCUCGCGCUGUAGUUGGAGCGGCUACGCAACCGUUGCCCCGAUGCUCGCUGGGAUGAUGGUGCACCUUCGGGUGGCCGUUGUCCUCGAUCAUCGUGCCUUCGGUGGUUUCGGUGAGUGCAUCUCGGGCCUGGCAAAUAUAAGUCUUUCGGCUAGGGGGCUGCACUGCCUCCCUGUCGUGAACUCUCUCUUUUCGGUUUGGACGACGCCCGGCUCCGUCCCCCGCCUUUGGCGUCGGACGGGCGCGGGCGCGUCGCGGACGAUG